UCCAUUUGGUGGGGACUCGCUCACUGAUGAGAACCAGCGCAUAUGACCAAGUCUGUGAUCUCGUGAAUCCGAUGACAAACUUUAGGGUUGUGUAAAUCCAUACGUUGGUUGAGAAAACAACAAACAUUGAAGUGACUGACAUUGCAAAGGUUGAGAACAAUACUAGUUUCUUGCGGCCCAAGGAACCAUCUGGGAUUAAAGCUAGAAAGAAUCCACCAACGAUGGCACCGAUGUAGAAAGCAGAACUAGGCAUACCUCUGAGUAAAGAGCUCGAGCACUCGAGUCCAAAUUCUGAAAUGACGGUUUUGUCCUUGGAGCCACCGUCCCAUUCCCAUGCUGAUCUUGGGAGCUUGCAGAUGUCGGAAGUGGAGUGGUCGCAGAUCGUGUGGUUAACACAGUGCCACGUGGGGUAUGCGUCUGUGUAAACGGUGAUGAAUAUCGGAAAUGCAUCGAAGAACAGAGCGAGUCCAACGAGGACUACCUGGAAGAGUUGCCAGAACCCAAAAUCUGAUAGACUCUGUUCGACAAUGCUGUCGAAAGUCAACUCUUCUGAACUGGUUCUGUCGUUGACGUCGGAAUCAUCGGCGCAGAUAUGAGACAAUAACAGUGGUUCUGACUGGUCAGUCAUCAAAAAAUAUUGUUUGGGUUUUAAAACUUUUUUUCUUUUGAAGGGGUUGGCUGUUGGAUGAUAAUAUUUCCUUUCUUAUCAGCUAAAUAUAAAUCUAAAAUCUGAAUCUGUGUUAUCAUUAUAUCGUUAACCAUAACGUGUAAUUUCAGUUUGAUAGUCGUGAGAAGCGUGGGUUGACUGACGUGUUUCAGUUUGAAAUGAGUAAUACUAGUAUCUAUUUUAAAACCUGCUCGUGAGAAACGUGGGUCGACGAAGUUAAACGUAUGAAAUUAAGUACAGUAACUAGAUCCCGAUCCGCGCAAUCGCGCAGAUUUUGUUUUCAAUUAUUUUUAUAUAAAUAUUUUGUUUUCAAUUCUAAAUUUGUAUAUAUUACGGUAUAUUUUUUCAUUGACUAGAUUGUUUCAAACUUUUACACGUAUUUGUAUCUUCUUCUAUAUAUAUAUUUUCGAAUUAUUAUUUCAUUAUUAAAAUCGUAACUAUAUAUAUAAAGAUUAGUAAAAUAUUGUUUUAUUGUCAUAUUCAAAGAUAUUGUAACAUUUCACAAAUUUAAAAAGUUUUAAAAAAAUUAAAUUUUUUGCUUCAUAGAUUUAUAUUAUCGAGUAAAUAAUUAAACAUUUAGUUUUUGUUUCAUUUUUAAAAUAAACUAUAUAGUUUAAAAUUUGUUUUCAUUGGUUUAAGGUACUAAAGAUUAAUCAUUUUUAGAUAAUAUGAUUUUUGUUAUUUUAAAAAAAAUCUUUAUAAUUUUAAAAGUUAACAUCAACAAAUAUUUAAAUAUUUAACAUAUGGAAGUAUAAUAUUACAACAUUAAAUUAUAUCUUUUUAAUUUAUACUAUCUAUAAAUCAAAUGGAUCAUCUAUUGUUUAAAUCUUAUUAUUGAUAGCCCAAUAAAAAUUUCUGGUAUGCCCAAAAUUUAAAUGAUAAGAUUAGAGAUUAAAUGUAACAUAACUUUAUAUUAAUACGUCCAUUAGAUCUAUUUUUUAAAAAAAUCACACAUGAAUUACUUAUAAAUUAAUCUAUUAAUGGCGCCCAUACGUACAGGUCGUGCCAUGAAUAUAGUAGCACCACAUAAUAAUGGCUUAUAACUAAUACAAGUACCAUAGGCAGACCUUGAGAUUUAUAAAGUCAUAAACAUUUACGAUUAAUUGGAAACCAUAAAACUUAUAUAUAUAUUAACCCUGCGAAUGUUUUCAUUAGAUUCACAAUUUCGAAUAAUUUCGGAGAGAUCGAAGACCAUUAGCAUAUGAACAAAAUAUAUCUGAUCAAAGGGAAAAGAUCAAUAUUACUUCACUCCAAGUAAAUAUUAUUCCUCAUUAGGUGAUAUUUUUGCUAUAUUUGAAAACGUACAAACUUUUUAAAAAUCAUAUGCAUAAACAAAAUUUAAUGACAUAUUAUUGAUAAAGUAACUUAGCAACUAUCUCAAGGUGUUAGAAAUCUAUUUAUAAAAACGAAUAACAAUGGGUCCGAUUGGUAAUGGCUGUAGCUUUAAAAUUUUUGCUGUAGAAAAAAAUCUGUAGAUUUUUUGUCUAUUACUUAGAACGCAAGAAAAGGGUUUCUCACACCAAAAAACAUCGCUUGAGUUCCAUGAUACCAAAGAGGAGCUACGUGUGCUGACUUGCGUCUACGGUGUGCGUCAAGCUCGUGGACUAAUCUCUCUAAUAUCUGCUCUAAAUGGAGUUUCUUCUUCACCUUUCACACCUUAUCUCAUGCACCUCAUACCUCUCUCCAAGAAGCGGAAAACAGAGCUAUUGUACCACGAACUAGACGAAGAUGGAGUGAACUCCAAUGGAGGAGACGAUGAGUUCGGGACCAACGAAGGACUAGAGAUAAAUGACUCGAUAGACUCAUUCACUAGAGACAGAAAGGUCAUGAUCCGGCAAGUAAAACGAGUAGCGCUGAUGGAGAACAUGCACGAAGAGAUCUGUAACGGGAGUGAAGAUCUUCACGUCUCCAUCGUGUUUCUUCCGUUCCAUAAACACCAGAGGAUCGAUGGCAAAACUACAAACGACGGGGAAGUGUUUCGGGAUAUGAACCGGAAGGUUCUGAAGCAAGCACAGUGUUCGAUCGGUAUCUAUGUGGAUAGAAACAUAACCGGGUUCCACCAGCUUCACGGGUUUGAGUCGGUACAACACGUCGCUGCAUUGUUCUUUGGUGGUCCUGAUGAUCGAGAGGCUCUGUCCUUGUGCCAGUGGCUUAUCAAUAACUCUCAGAUUCACCUCACUAUCAUACAGUUUGUCGCUUAUGGCUCGGAGACAGAGAAUCUUGUCGGAGACGCGGUGACCAAAGAAAACAACGAUGUUUUGAUGGAGAUUGUUGGUAACGAUCAGACAAACGACGAAACUGAUCGAACUUUCUUAGAGGAAUACUAUAACAGGUACUUUACAAGAUUCUACUUCUUACUAAUCCUAUGUUUCCAGCUUUAGCCAGUUCAUGAAAGGUUUUGAGCACAAUCGGAUGAAACAUUAAGAGUAAUUCUUGGGUUCACACCUAGAGGUUCACCAACCAAUAGUGUUUGAGUAUUUGAUAUUUGAUAUUUUUUAAAAAAGAAAAUAAAAUUGAAUAUCCAAAUUAUAUUAUAUUUUAAAAAUAAAAUAAUAAAAAUACAUAAAAAAUAUAGUUACAAAAAAUAAAUUAAUUAAUAUUGUUAAAUCUUCAGCAAAAUACUAAACCCUAUACCUUAAAUCCUAAAUCCUAAACCCUAAACCCUAAACGUUAAACCUUAAACUUUGGAUAAACUCUAAACCAUUGGAAACUCUUAAACCUUAGAUCAUACAUUAAAAACUAAAUUUUAAUAACACUAAACCCUAAAUCCUAAUCACUAAACCCUAAACCCUUGGGUAAACUCUGAGCUCUUGGAUAAAUUAUAUAUUUUAGGGUUUAAUUGUAAAUAUUUUUGAUUUAGAGUUUAUGAUUUAUCUAAGGGUUCAUGAUUUAUCCAAGGGUUUAGGGUUUAGUGAUUAGGGUUUAGGGUUUAGUGUUAUUAAAUUUUAGUUUUUAAUGUAUGAUUUAGGUUUUAAAAUUUUCCAAUGGUUUACGGUUUAUCCAAGAUUUAAGGUUUAUCAUUUAGGGUUUGGAGUUUAGGAUUUAGGGUAUAGGAUUUAAUAUUUAAUUUGCUAACGGUUUAACAAUAUAUAUUUUUCUUUUUGUAACUAUUUUUAUGUAUUUUUAUUGUUUUAUUUUAAAAAUAUAAUCUUAUUUAGAAAUUCAAUUUUGUUUCUUUUUUUUAAAAGAUAUCAAAUAUCAAAUAUCAAAUACUCAAACACUAUUAGUUUUACAAUCCAAAUUUUAAGGAAAUAUUAUGUAUUUGCUGCAUGGCCCAAAAAUUAUAAAUAUUUUUUCUUACAAUUAACCUAAAAAUGUUUAUCUCCCUCAUAAAUUUCAGAUCUUAGUACUAGGGUUGUGGAUAAUUUCUAGACCUGAAACAUUGGCAUUUUUUUCAUUGACCGGACUGGUUUUGGUUUAUUUUUGGCAGAUUUGUAACGACGGGGCAAGUUGGAUUCAUAGAGAAGCGAGUAAGCAACGGAGAGCAAACACUGACGAUUCUGAGAGAGAUAGGAGAGAUGUAUUCACUGUUUGUGGUGGGGAAAAACAGAGGUGGUUGCCUAAUGACGUCAGGAAUGAACGAUUGGGAAGAGUGUCCGGAACUAGGAACGAUCGGAGAUUUCUUGGCUUCAUCAAAUAUGGAUGUAAAUGCUUCUGUAUUAGUAGUUCAAAGACAUAGACACUCAUUUGAAAUCUUUGUGGAUGAAUAGCAAAAUAUUCUUUAGUUUUUUUACGCACAAUACUUCCAACUUAUUUUUACCAGUUUCUUAUAUCAGAUAAGACACACAUAACGAUUUGAAAACAUAUCACAAACUCUUACACUCAGCAACAGUUGCUAGUGUUUAUGGUUUGAUCUCUUUUUUCUUGUUCUUCCAUUGUGUCACAGAGACUUGAACCUUUUGUCUCGGGAAGAAUCAAAACGAACAACCCCAAACCAGACAUGGCAACUCCGAAAAUGGCAAAGGAUACUGAUGGUAGAUCUCUCCCAAUGGAAGCAAUGAGCGGACAACAAGCUCCUCCAACAACAAGAGCUUGUCUAAACAUCAUUGUUGCUGAACUUCUUACACAAGUCGGAAACAUUUCAACCAUAUAAACCGCCAUUAGGUUAAAUCCGGUCCUUGCACAAAAAAAUGUCCCAAGUUCAAACGCAAACGCGAUCCCGGUUUUUCCGAAAACGCUGAGAACGAAACAAAGCACCCCAGAGGCUCCACCUAGUAAGGUGUUCACUAGAACAGAGCUUCUUCUGUUGACCCUCUCCAAUAUGAACGGAGUGAUAAUGAAAGUAGGCAACUCCACCACUGCGUUUAGGGUUUCACUCAAGUAUAUGUUGACGUCUAUGUCUCUAACUGCUAAUGGAACUCCGUAGUAUGACAUUCCCAUUCCAAACAAUAUGACCAUAACAACUAAUAUCCUCCGAAAAGCCCACUUUCGGAAGAAGAAGUCCUUAAUCGAGUACCUUGGCAGUGCUUCAACGGUUUCUUGCUCCAGGGGUAACUUAGAAAUUAGUGAUUCCAAGUAGGCUUUGUUCUUCGAUGACAGGCUUUUGAGAACAACAAUGGCUUCUUCGUUGUUUCCUUGCAAGUGAAGCCACCGUGGUGAUUCGAGUGCGAAGAGGUAGAGGAAGAUACAAUAGAAUGUUGCUGGAACGGCUGUGUAGAGAUAGAGAUAUCUCCAUGAAGAGUGUCGAGCAAGGUAAGCCACUCCAGACAAUGACAUAAACCCUAAAACGAAAAGGGUAAAUGGAAUCAUGGUAACUCUUGGUCUCCAUUUGGUGGGGACUCGCUCACUGAUGAGAACCAGCGCAUAUGACCAAGUCUGUGAUCUCGUGAAUCCGAUGACAAACUUUAGGGUUGUGUAAAUCCAUACGUUGGUUGAGAAAACAACAAACAUUGAAGUGACUGACAUUGCAAAGGUUGAGAACAAUACUAGUUUCUUGCGGCCCAAGGAACCAUCUGGGAUUAAAGCUAGAAAGAAUCCACCAACGAUGGCACCGAUGUAGAAAGCAGAACUAGGCAUACCUCUGAGUAAAGAGCUCGAGCACUCGAGUCCAAAUUCUGAAA
Molecule: long non-coding RNA, 5727 nt
Filed under: Brassica napus (rape)
Lineage: Eukaryota; Viridiplantae; Streptophyta; Magnoliopsida; Brassicales; Brassicaceae
Description: long non-coding RNA (BNAP_LNC021035)
Source: RNAcentral